RNAcentral lists this ribosomal RNA (483 nucleotides) under uncultured bacterium. RNAcentral's name for it is "partial 16S ribosomal RNA". It matches the Rfam family "Bacterial small subunit ribosomal RNA", at positions 28 to 507 of the family's 1533-position model. The record is from RNAcentral.
GACGAACGCUGGCGGCGUGCUUAACACAUGCAAGUCGAACGCUGAAGCUCAGCUUUUGUUGGGUGGAUGAGUGGCGAACGGGUGAGUAACACUUAGGUACCUUGCCCCCUUCUUUGGGAUACCUCCCGAAAACGGGGCCUAAUCCUGGAUAUUCCCUGGUCUUCCCUGGGGGGUUGUGGAAAGGGGUUUUUCUGGUGGGGGAUGGGGUCGCGGCCUAUCAGCUUUUUGGUGGGGUGUUGGCCUCCCAAGGGUUUGACGGUUAGCCGGCCUGAGAGGGUGGCCGGUCACAUGGGGACUGAGAUAAGGCCCAGACUACUACGGGAGGAAGCAGUGGGGAAUAUUGCACAAUGGGCGCAAGCAUGAUGCAGCGACGCAGCGUGAGAGAUGGAGGCCUUCGGGUUGUGAACCUCUUUCGCUAAUGGUCAAGCCGCAACAAUGGUUGUGGUGAGGGUAGUGGGUAAAGAAGCGCCGGCUAACUACGUG